AGUGCAAGCCCCUCAAUCCCCAGAAGAGGCACCAGGAACUGCAGGAGAUGCUGUCUCCAUGGAGAGCAGGGCAGCAGGUUCACCUUCUGUCUCCCUGGAAAUGCGCCUGGCUUCACUUUCCUCUCGUAAGUACUUGCAUAGCAUUGUUAGAUAAAUGUUAUGUGUGUGUGUGCGUGCGCAUUUAAACAUACACACGUAUGUGAUUUUACUGUAUAUGAAGUUAAUUUAUCACAUACAUGUAUUUCAGACCAUCCGCAACUUGUCGACCUUCCUUCACCACGGAUGAGUGUGGUUUCCCUCCAACAGCUGGCCACUGGUGUCCAGGAUCCAAUGCUGAGCGUAAGUAAAAAAUGCUU
Non-coding RNA from Pelobates cultripes (western spadefoot toad), 356 nucleotides. The record is from the annotation of a GenBank genome assembly. Lineage: Eukaryota; Metazoa; Chordata; Amphibia; Anura; Pelobatidae.